GACGAACGCUGGCGGCGUGCUUAACACAUGCAAGUCGAACGGAAAGGCCCUGCUUUUGUGGGGUGCUCGAGUGGCGAACGGGUGAGUACACGUGAGUAACCUGCCCUUGACUUUGGGAUAACUUCAGGAAACUGGGGCUAAUACCGGAUAGGAGCUCCUGCUGCAUGGUGGGGGUUGGAAAGUUUCGGAGGUUGGGGAUGGACUCGCGGCUUAUCAGCUUGUUGGUGGGGUAGUGGCUUACCAAGGCUUUGACGGGUAGCCGGCCUGAGAGGGUGACCGGCCACAUUGGGACUGAGAUACGGCCCAGACUCCUACGGGAGGCAGCAGUGGGGAAUAUUGCACAAUGGGCGGAAGCCUGAUGCAGCAACGCCGCGUGCGGGAUGACGGCCUUCGGGUUGUAAACCGCUUUCGCCUGUGACGAAGCGUGAGUGACGGUAAUGGGUAAAGAAGCACCGGCUAACUACGUG
This 467-nucleotide ribosomal RNA is filed under the name uncultured bacterium. RNAcentral describes it as "partial 16S ribosomal RNA". It matches the Rfam family "Bacterial small subunit ribosomal RNA", at positions 28 to 507 of the family's 1533-position model. The record is from RNAcentral.